Molecule: transfer-messenger RNA, 62 nt
Filed under: Pseudomonadales bacterium RIFCSPHIGHO2_02_FULL_60_43
Lineage: Bacteria; Pseudomonadati; Pseudomonadota; Gammaproteobacteria; Pseudomonadales
Description: partial transfer-messenger RNA
Rfam family: transfer-messenger RNA
About the family: Bacterial tmRNA, also known as 10Sa RNA or SsrA, is named for its dual tRNA and mRNA-like properties.
Source: RNAcentral
AGCAUGUAGUACCGAAAGUGGAGAACUGGCGGACGGGGGUUCAAAUCCCCCCGGCUCCACCA